This 72-nucleotide transfer RNA is filed under the name Camelus ferus (Wild Bactrian camel). It matches the Rfam family "tRNA". From Rfam's summary of the family: Transfer RNA (tRNA) molecules are approximately 80 nucleotides in length. Their secondary structure includes four short double-helical elements and three loops (D, anti-codon, and T loops). The record is from Rfam by way of RNAcentral. Lineage: Eukaryota; Metazoa; Chordata; Mammalia; Artiodactyla; Camelidae.
GAGAGUAUAGCUUAGUGGUAGAGCACAAGCUUAGCAUGCAUAAGGUCCUGGGUUCGAUCCCCAGUACCUCCA